RNAcentral lists this unclassified non-coding RNA (23 nucleotides) under Mus musculus (house mouse). RNAcentral describes it as "oocyte_clustered_small_RNA13662". Lineage: Eukaryota; Metazoa; Chordata; Mammalia; Rodentia; Muridae. The record is from RNAcentral.
UCGCUACGGAGGAGAGGCAGCAG